GACGACGACGUUGAUAGGCCGGAUGUGUAAGUGCAGCGAUGCAUUGAGCUGACCGGUACUAAUGACCCGAGAGGCUUAACCUUACAACACCGAAGGUGUUU
This 101-nucleotide ribosomal RNA is filed under the name Affinibrenneria salicis. RNAcentral's name for it is "Brenneria sp. L3-3HA partial 23S ribosomal RNA". The stretch from base 1 to 83 matches the Rfam family "Bacterial large subunit ribosomal RNA", at positions 2843 to 2925 of the family's 2925-position model. The record is from RNAcentral. Lineage: Bacteria; Pseudomonadati; Pseudomonadota; Gammaproteobacteria; Enterobacterales; Pectobacteriaceae.